Molecule: ribosomal RNA, 737 nt
Filed under: uncultured Corynebacterium sp.
Lineage: Bacteria; Bacillati; Actinomycetota; Actinomycetes; Mycobacteriales; Corynebacteriaceae
Description: bacterial SSU rRNA
Rfam family: Bacterial small subunit ribosomal RNA
Source: RNAcentral
GACGAACGCUGGCGGCGUGCUUAACACAUGCAAGUCGAACGGAAAGGCCUGCAGCUUGCUGCGGGUACUCGAGUGGCGAACGGGUGAGUAACACGUGGGUGAUCUGCCUUGCACUUCGGGAUAAGCUUGGGAAACUGGGUCUAAUACCGGGUAGGACAGCUGUUUAGUGUCAGUUGUGGAAAGUUUUUUCGGUGCAAGAUGAGCUCGCGGCCUAUCAGCUUGUUGGUGGGGUAAUGGCCUACCAAGGCGUCGACGGGUAGCCGGCCUGAGAGGGUGUACGGCCACAUUGGGACUGAGAUACGGCCCAGACUCCUACGGGAGGCAGCAGUGGGGAAUAUUGCACAAUGGGCGGAAGCCUGAUGCAGCGACGCCGCGUGGGGGAUGAAGGCCUUCGGGUUGUAAACUCCUUUCGACAGGGACGAAGCGUAAGUGACGGUACCUGUAUAAGAAGCACCGGCUAACUACGUGCCAGCAGCCGCGGUAAUACGUAGGGUGCGAGCGUUGUCCGGAAUUACUGGGCGUAAAGAGCUCGUAGGUGGUUUGUCGCGUCGUCUGUGAAAUUCCGGGGCUUAACUCCGGGCGUGCAGGCGAUACGGGCUGACUUGAGUGCUGUAGGGGAGACUGGAAUUCCUGGUGUAGCGGUGAAAUGCGCAGAUAUCAGGAGGAACACCGAUGGCGAAGGCAGGUCUCUGGGCAGUAACUGACGCUGAGGAGCGAAAGCAUGGGUAGCGAACAGG